This 445-nucleotide long non-coding RNA is filed under the name Sorghum bicolor (sorghum). Its description in RNAcentral is "long non-coding RNA (SBIC_LNC002176)". Lineage: Eukaryota; Viridiplantae; Streptophyta; Magnoliopsida; Poales; Poaceae. The record is from RNAcentral.
UGCCCACACGUCUAUAAUGCUACAUGAUGUCUGUAAUGUUAAGUUGCUUUUGAUGUUACCUGUCACCUCAAUAGUAUACAUGGAUUAUCAUCUUGUUUCAUAAUGGUCAAUGCUAAUUUAUUAUUAUAGAAAGCGGCUGAAAGAGGAGGCUAUGGGGGAGUGAGCGAUAUGAAAGGAUAGAGUUCCAAAAGAAAGUUGCAGAGCAUUACCAUUCACUCCGUGAUUCGACACGGAAUGUAACUCAGUUUCUGCAAGAAUCGCCAAGUUGUGGUUCUUGUAUUUGCUUUGCCUCUUGUGCCAAUGACUCAAGUCUUGAUAUGUGCCAACUCAAGGGUCUGGAAUUGCAAGUGAAACAGAUUUAAUACCUAUUUUGUUCAGUUUGUGGUGAUAUCAGAGCUAAUAUUUUUGUGCAGAAAAUGAAGCUCCUAACAGAGAAGAAACCCUG